Molecule: ribosomal RNA, 253 nt
Filed under: uncultured bacterium
Lineage: Bacteria
Description: partial 16S ribosomal RNA
Rfam family: Bacterial small subunit ribosomal RNA
Source: RNAcentral
UACGGGGGGGGCAAGCGUUGUUCGGAAUUACUGGGCGUAAAGGGUUUGUAGGUGGCUCGCUAAGUCAGACGUGAAAUCCCUCAGCUUAACUGGGGAACUGCGUCCGAGACUGGCAAGCUUGAGUGCAGGAGAGGAACGCGGAAUUCCAGGUGUAGCGGUGAAAUGCGUAGAGAUCGGAAAGAACACCAACGACGAAAGCACUCUGCUGGGCCGACACUGACACUGAGAGACGAAAGCUAGGGGAGCGAAUGGG